This is a long non-coding RNA of Equus caballus (horse), 1995 nucleotides long. NCBI's taxonomy places the organism in Eukaryota, Metazoa, Chordata, Mammalia, Perissodactyla, Equidae. The record is from Ensembl.
AGGAAUAGCAUUCAGCUGAAUAAUGGUUAAAAAAUUAUACAGAAUACCAGAGAGAGAUGAAACGAUAUUCCACCCGGCAGCUCAGGUGCAAACUUCAUCAGUAGCAGGGUGGGGGUAGCGUUGGAAGAUGGAACAGAGAUAUUAUUACUCAAAAUGUUAGAGUGUUAAUAUACUUUUGCUCAGGACCAGGGAAGGAGGGUGCCUUUUUGGGGAGGGAAAAGGCACUUUGGGGGUCUGUGUGGCUUUGAGGAUGGAGAUAUCUUUAUUUAGAGGCAAAUUUGGCUGUAGUGAAUUACAGGGAAGAUGAGGAGAGGGACUCAUAGCUAAGGAGAGAGUGGAAAGCAAGGCGUUGUUUCCCUUUUCAUUUCCUUUUUAAUUACUGGGUCAAUUCACUAAUUAGGAAAAGAGCCUGGAAUUUGGAGGUCCAACCAUGAUUCUGUGCUUCAGAGAAGGCACUUUGUGGUUACAAAGAUUGUAUCAGUGGUAAAAGAUCCCCAUAAGUAAAUAAUACUAGAUAUAAUUGGAAGAGUAACUUGUCACCUAAAGUUGUCUAAUUUGCAUCCAAGAAAUAAUUUAAAUAAUGAAAGUCACUAGCUUAAAAAAAAGAUCCAUGAAAACGUUAAAAUGUAUGUGACUAUAUUUGGCAAGAUGUUUUGUAGUUGAGAAAACUAUGCCCCAUAUACUUCACAGAUACAAAAAUACAAACUAGCACAAAGCAUGUAAUUAGAUUUUAAAAUGACAAAUAGGGAAAUAGUACUGAAAAUAUCUAGUCAGGCUAAAGAAAAACUACUUGCAAUGAGAGAGACGAGAAAAAACUUUUCUAAACUGUGGCAGUUGCUUAUGAACCUGUCGGUACUAUUAACAAUACAGAAUGGUUAUUUUGACAGGGCAAAUGCUGUCAAGUUAGCUUUAGAAUAGUAAAAAUAACUUUGGCUUUGGAAACUGAACGACAUGCAUUUGAACCUUAGUUUUGUCGUCUUCCUAGCUGUGUGAGGACCCAAUAUGACAAUGUUUGGGGAAUGUGCUAUAACAGGUAAAGACCAAUACAAAAGAAGAGCUUUGGGUAUUAAAGGCAUUGUUUCCAGAAAAGUGGAUGGAGUCCAUAGAUUAAAUGAAAAGAGGACACCACUGCUUAAGCAGAAGAGAACCAAUACGCCAUACUGAAAUUGAAGGCAUUUUUUUUAGUAGUGUUGUAGAAUUGUUUUUCAGAUGUAGCAUUUGUGGUAGGCAGCCCUUAAGAUGUUCGCUAAUGAUCCCCACCUCCUGGUAUUCACAUCCUUGUGUAGUCCCCUCUCACAUUGUACCAGGGAUGAACUGUGUCCAAUAGAAUAUGGCAGAAGUAAUGGCACGUAAGUUCUGAGGGUAAGUGAAGAAGACACUGUAGCUUCUCUGUCUCUGUCUCUGUCUGUGUUUAUGAUCAUUCACUCCACAGGAAGCCAGCUGCUGUGUUGUGAGCUGCCCUAUGGAGAAGCCCAUGUGGUAAGGAACUGAGGCGUCGGAGCAACAGUUGCAUGAGUGAGUUUGGAAGCAGAUCCUUCAACCCAGCCAAGCCUUCGGAUGACUUCAGCCAUAGUGAACUAAAACGUCAUGAGACCCUGAGCCAGAACCACCUAGCUAAGCUACUCUUGGAUUCCUGACCUCAGAAACUGUCCCAGUACAUGGUUAUAUAGCCUGGUUGUAAGUCCUUCUCGUUCUUCUACGUGAGCUGCUGCCACAGCAUGGCAACUGAACGGACGAGUGGUGUAGUUUCAGGACCCGGAAAUGAACGUGGGCCGCCAAAGUGUGUAUCUUUGGAGUGGUUUCCUGCAAGCAGAUUUGUUGGAUUAAAAGAGAGUAAGAGAUGCGCUAUAUAAGACACGGAUGCCCAAGGAUUCACAUUUUGAUGAAAUGAAGCAUGAAGUUUUUGUUUCCCUGCAGCAGUGGAGUGACACACAACUCAUGAGAAGCUGUUCAUGACCAUUCUAAAAGCAGUGCGCAACAUCUGGUAGAACUGAG